Molecule: ribosomal RNA, 199 nt
Filed under: uncultured bacterium
Lineage: Bacteria
Description: partial 16S ribosomal RNA
Rfam family: Bacterial small subunit ribosomal RNA
Source: RNAcentral
ACGCUCGACACCUACGGGAUGCAGCAGUGGGGAAUAUUGCACAAUGGGGGAAACCCUGAUGCAGCGACGCCGCGUGAGCGAAGAAGUAUUUCGGUAUGUAAAGCUCUAUCAGCAGGGAAGAAGAAAGACGGUACCUGACUAAGAAGCCCCGGCUAACUACGUGCCAGCAGCCGCGGUAAUCUGAGCGGGCUGGCAAGGC